Rattus norvegicus (Norway rat) is the source of this 6363-nucleotide non-coding RNA. Lineage: Eukaryota; Metazoa; Chordata; Mammalia; Rodentia; Muridae. The record is from RefSeq and is a predicted model, not a curated record.
GCCGACGUCGGGGGCGGGAGGGAGGGGCGGCACGCGGGUCGGGCAGGCACGAGGCUUCCGGCCGCUGCAAGGCCUGACAGGGCUGAGGAGGGCGUCGCGGCCGGGGGCGGGGUCGCCGUCUGUCCGCUCCGCCCUGCUCCUCUUGUCUUCCAGCAGAAGCGCAAGAGCGAGCCCUGGUGGGCCGCGCCGAGGAUGCACUGGGAGCGUCUCCUGUAGGGUCACCCGGCAUUCUCCGCCCGGGCAGCCCUUCCCGCCAAAACCUCUCCCUCAGCGGACUGCAGCGCUAAAUUUGGAGCCCGAAGAGCACCGUGGCUGAGCAACGCACUGCUCACAGCCUCUUUUCUUUGUGUUCUUUUUAGCUCCCUUCUCGGUACUAUAUACGUCUUUCCACUUUUUGACAUCUCUGAGGAUUUCUAUUCACAGCAGUCAGUCACUUGCAAAAAAAGGAAAAAAAAAAUGCCAGCGCUGAAGAGAUGAUUAAGUCCGGAAUUCGGAACUCCUAAGAGGCUUUGAAGCCUGGAACUUCUGCAUCAUAGGCAGAGUUUUGCUUAGUUGAGCCUGUCUCUGGGGAGAGGUGACCCUGUAUUAUCCUAAAAGGCUUUGGGAACUUGUAAACGGUUAAAAGGUACCUAAUCCGAUUUGUUUCCAGAUGAUGGAGCAGGCUGCUAGAACGAAGGGAGUUGCCAACGUCGCACAGGUAAUGCUAGAAUUCUAAUUAUAACCCAUCACACUGGUCUUCCGUAUGGUGGACCUAAGUAAACAGCAACAUUUUAAUAUCUUGAAAUAUAUUAUGUGUGUCCAGACCUUGGUUCCUGGGUACCCAUUGUCCAUUAAAAGAAACUCAAUUCAUUGGAAGUAAUGACUGAGUCCAAGGCAGACAGGGCAAUUCUAAGAUGAUCUAAGAUCUUAUCUGAGUAAACAAGGGGAUCUUUUGUAUACGACAGGAAGGAUAUGUCAAAAGAGAAGACAGUUUGAAGGGACCCACCACUGACAAAUCUGAGCCAAUCUAAAUAUCAAAAAGAACAAUUUUAGAAAUACACUAUAACAUAUUACUUUUACAUUUCAUUUUGUGUAGAAGUCAGAGGACAGGGUGUGUGAGUUGGUUCUAGCCUUCCACUGUGGCCCUAGGGAUAGUCACUGUAGGUAACUUGAUCCAAUGUGCCAUCUCUUAGGCACUACAUUGCUUUUUUGUGUUGUCAUUUUGUUUUGUUUUGUUUUGUUUUUUAAACAGCGUCUCACUAUGUAGCCUUAGGUAACCUGUAACUUGCCACAUAGGCCAGGCUGGCUCAUACCUAACAGAGAUGUCUCCCGAGUGCUGAGAUUAAAAGCAGGUAUCACCAUUCCCAACCCACAUUAAAAACUUAAAAGGAGCCCAUACCUCAUAUUUUCACUUUAACUUUUUAAAGACAGGCUCUCAGAAAUAUGAUAUAUGUGAUAAGCCCUACUAAAUCUCUAUUCCCACCCACCCCCUCCUCUAACUGAGGAAACUCAAAACUCAGAACUGUACACAUGCUAGGCAAGUAUUGUAGCACUGAGCUAUGUUCCCGGGAGGGAUAAAUGAGAGGAGGACGCAAGUAGAAAUUAUCAAAUCACCAUUUUGUGGUUGUUAUAGUAAUAAUUGGUUCAGAAAAGAAUUAUCGAUAGGUGUUAAAGUCAGUGGGUGAAAUUUGACUGGGGAAUGGGGUAUUUAUACAGUCUCAAAAUACCUUUGGAUUUUGAAAAAUAUCAUUGGGAAGGGUUACCAGAGGCUAACAAAUUCCAGUGAAGAAGUCUGACAGGCGCUUUCCUGAUGAAAUGAUCCAAGUUACUCGUUGGACUAAAGUAACACACAAGGUCAUCUGAUCCGAGGUACCCAGGAGACAGCUCUGAAGUGUACAUAUUCUGUAAAAAGUAAAAGUACAUAUUCUGGGAAAAGUUUUCAAUUAGCAAUAAUCGUGCCUUGGAUAAACCUCAUUGGCUAUGAUACUGCCACUGUGCAAUCUGUCACAAAGGAACAAACCAGAAACAUGUAAACUGCGCAAACCUACCCCCUAAUUAUUCUGCACACUUAAAGAUGCCAUUGUCCUGAAAGAAAGGCUGGGGAAGAAUUUUAGAUUUACGGUCUUAAGAGACAUGCCACUACAGGUGCUAGAAAAACAUGGUACCAAGGAAUACUAUCAGGGCAGUAGUUGAAAAUGGAAUUGGAUGCAUAUUAGAUAAAAGUAUUCUUCCAAUGUUGAUUCCUUUAAAGAUUUAUUUUACUUUUAGUGAUGUGUAUGUGUGGGUAUUUAUGUGCACGUAUGAAUGCAGACGCCCAUAGUGUCCCCAAAAGCGAUUAUAGGUGGUGUUGAGGCCCUUGGUGUGGGUGCUGGGAACUGAACUCAGGUCCUCUAUAAGCACAGUACUUCCUUUUAACUCCUGAGCCAUCUCUCCAGCCCUUAGUGCUAGGUUUCUUGAUUCUAAUCAUUGCACUGUAUUAUGAAAGAAAGUAUCCUAAUUAAGAAAUACACACUGACGUGUCGAUGGAUAAAAGCUUGUGAUGUAGGCCACUUGUCCUCGAAUAGUUUAGCAAAGGUAGAGAAUGACGAAGGUGGGAAGUGCUAAGCUGAAUCCAGGCAAAGGGCAGUUCAUUGUUGUUCUUAUGACUCUUCUGUAGGUUUGCUUUUUCAUGGAAAUUAGUAUAUAUGCGUUUUAUAGACACAUUUUACAUUUAAUUAAUUUAUUUGUGUGUAUGUGUGUGGUGUGUGUGUUCCAAGCACCCAUGCACCACAGCAGGUGUGUAGAGGGAAAGGAUUACUUUCUGUAUUCUCAUUCCACUUCUCAUCAGCCUUAGUCAUGGAAUAUCUGCCCCCUCUCUGUUUAUGUAUGUUACUAGGUGUGUGUGUGUGUGUGUGUGUGUGUGUGUGUGUGUGUGUGUGUGUGGUGUGUUGCUAGGAAUUGAACCCAGGGCUUUGUAUACGCUGGCCAGAUAUCUACUUCUGACCCACAUUACCAACUCUGAUCACUUUUAGUGCAGGGCUUGCUGGCUGCUAAGCUAUCCACUGCUCUUUGUGUUUCGAUCUUUAAUUCUCCCCAAUAGUUCUGUGCCUGGUUGUGAGGUGUGUUGUUUUGUAUGGUAGGGAAGAAAUGAGAGAAUGCCAGAAGACUGACACAGACCUCUAGAUGAAUGAGAAUGGUAUGUGAGGUGCCUCUGACUAGGCUAGAAGCCCACAUAUAUACCUUAGUUCAACGGUAACUCCUAGUUUGAUUCUUACAUGUUAAUUGUUCUGGGGGGUGGGUUCCUUUGGGAAUCAAUAAACGCUACUUGAAUUCCAGAACCAGAAAGUAUACACAGACUCACUAAAUCAACAACCUCCUCUUUAAAGGGCACCUUUUAAUCAGAAAUUGACUCAUUUCUAUCUGAUUAUUUGGAUCAAAUAACCAAGCCAACCCACCUACUUGCACAGUCUGGGGAUAAGAUCUGGUAUGAGUCCAGAAGAAAAAGAAACGACUAGGAGAGGGUACCAAAAGCUUAUUUAUUUUUUUAAGGAAACCAGAGUUCAGUGUCAGUGUACUGGUGUCUACAGGAUAGAGGAAGAGAGGUCAGAGAUCGGAAGGAGUAUGUUAAACACCAAUUUUGCCCAUAUAGAAAUGCAGUGAGUGUGCCAUUAAAUGUGAGUAGUCAGUUGUAGAUGUCACUCUGAAGAACUGUGUGUAGGAAAAUUUAUAGUUCUUCAACGCUGGACUUGAUGAUUCAGCUUUAUGUCUCUGUUCCAAAAGAUGUGGUUCCUGAGAGUCGUUCACUAUAUAUAUUAGCAAUUAUUAGCUCCUUUUAGUUAUGGUAAUAUUUAUUUGUGUGUAGGUGCUUGUGUAUGGGUGAGUACAUGAUAGCAUGCAUGUGGCGGUGUGGAGGUUAGGGGACAACUUGGAAUGUUGUAUCUCUCCUUCCAUCAUGUGUGUGAGUCCUGGGAUUGAACUCAGGUCAUCAGGCUGGGCAGAAAGUGUGUUGACCCACAGAACCAUCUCUCCUGCUCCACUUUUUAUUUUUCUUUCAAGAUAGGGUUUCUCGGUGUAGCUGUGGCUGUCCUGCAACUCACUCUGUAGACCAGGUUGGCCUCCACUCAGAGAUCCAUCUGUCUCUGUCUCCCGAAUGGUCAGAUUAAAAGUGUACACCACCACCACCCAGCCCCGCUCCACAGCUUAACAAUUAUUAAUUUCAUCUAUCCCGCUUUCUUCUCCUCUUCAUCUCCUUUUCUCUUAAUGUGUACCCAGCCUCCAAGGGUAAAACAAGAGGGUGACAGGCGAGCAGAAACAAAAAGAAAAGAAAGGACUCUGGCAGCCACUGUCUCAGCUCUGCUUUUAGAGUAAGUGAGGUAGAACAGCUGCAUUACCGGGUUUUUUAAUGACAUGACAUUGCCAACGCAGCAUCCCCAGAUGCUGCUGCGAGUCCACUCUAUUUAUUAUCAAGGUGAGUGGAGUAAGUGAACACUUCUAGAUGUAAAAACACGAGCAUACAGAAAAGGAAAUGAGAAAAGUGUGGAGAGACUGAGAGGAGUUAAAUCUGUAACUCAAUUAGCAUCAAUAAAAUCAACUUACCCAGGAGGAAGGAGAGGAGCUGGCAACAAGCUAAUGAAGAAUGCUGUGAGUCUGAGCGAGGAGCAACUCCAUGGCUCGCUGUGGAGUGCACACAUAUUUUUGCUGGAGUAAAGCAGCUUGUGCACUUGGAAAACAAGGAGGAUGCCAGCUAUUCCUUGAUGGUGAAGGUCUGUGUUGUUUUCUCUUUGAUCAUUUCAGGACCAAAGGCAGGUCAAUAUGCUGGGAACUUAGGAUUGGACUUAAGUCACAUCAAAUUUUAAAAAAGAUGCUUAUUAAUUACAGUUGCUUAGAUGACUCUACUAAGGAAAGAAAGCAGGUUACAAUGGUAAAGUCAACACUACACUUUUUAAUAGCAAUGAUGAAAAUGCCUGAGGAAAUCCCAAUCUUUAGCCCACGCCAAUUCCAAGGACUUGUUAAUAAACAGUAAAGGUGUUUGUGAAGCAACCAUCAGUCAGGCGGGUCACUGGACAUUUUUGAAAACCUUGUUGAAGUAAAAUUACCUUUUAUUCAAAACUAUAUAUUUACUAUGGACAGUUUGCGGCUUUGGGUACAUUCAUAUUUAUAUGGAUAAAACCCAUCAAGAUGAUCAAAGAAAUGGCAUGUCCACAUCUCCAAACCUUUCCCCCACUUCCCUUUUGUAAGAAGUAAGAACACUUAACUAGUCUCCUAAAAUUUUCAUUAUGGUAUUCAACUGAUCUCCAGAACAUAUUCCUCUGUGUAACUGAGCAUUAUGCCCAGUGCAUACUACUUCUUUCCCCUUCUGCACAGAUGCUGUCAGCCACCGGCCAGCCUUGUUUCUGCAAGUCUCACUAUUUUAGAUAACUCAUGUGCGCAAUAUCCUGCAUAUCUGUGCUUCUGUGACCAGCCUUUUUCACUUGGCAUAGGAUCUGCUGGGUUCUGCCAUGCUCCACACAGCGAGAUUUCCUUCUCUUUCAAGGUGGAGGUAUACCAAGUAUGUGCAGAAGUCAGAAGAGGUCAUCAGAUCCCCUGGAACUGGAGUUACAGAGAGCUGCCAUGGAGGCACCAGGAACCAGACUCUGCUCCUCUACAAGACCAGCCAGUAGUCUUAAUUCUGAGCCAGCCCUCCAGCUCUAAGAUUAGAAACUAUUCUAGUAAAAAGCUAUAAGAGAUUGGACAUAUGAAGAAGAGAGAUGGCAUAUGUCACUCAACGCUGGCUGCUUUCCUAUCUCCCUCUGCCACACCAGCCCCAGAUGACCCAAAAGAAGAAUAAGAAUCUGAGGGAGAUUCUCCAAAAUCUAGAGGCUGCCAAAGUACGAGAGGGGCUGGGGAAGGGGCAGGGGGCAACCUGGGUUUUGUUAGUUUUCAAGUCACAGGCACAGGAUCAAGGAAACAAGCCCCUUUGUGUCCACUAUGAAGUAUCUUUCUUUUGCCCCUUUAACUCUUUGAAAAGGUUCAUUGUCACCUUAGCUUUAUGAUCCAGUAGUUCCUGGAAUUGAGUGAGUAAGUUUUCAAGCACUUACCCCACUUGCCUACUGAGGGUUGGGCUUUGUAAGUUGCCCAAGUACCUGGGCUUCGUAGGUUUCCUAAGUACCCGAUAGGCUUCUGCCAAGGGCUAGGAUCCACUUCUCAGACUAUCUAGACAGUCUUCUCUGCCUAUGUCUUCCCAAGCCCCUGCUCAAGAGAAUUAGCUAAGAGACUUAUCUUCUGGUAGUACCCCCAUAUUACUCUGCUUUGGUCCUGUCUUACAGUCUGCAAAAUGAAGAUCCUUUUUUGCACCUACUGUGUUGAAAGAGUUUCUUGAACAGCAGCCGAAUUCACAAUAAAGCUGUGGACAUGAUUAUGCUGGAA